Molecule: unclassified non-coding RNA, 329 nt
Filed under: soil metagenome
Description: partial contains 5.8S ribosomal RNA, internal transcribed spacer 2, and large subunit ribosomal RNA
Rfam family: 5.8S ribosomal RNA (bases 1-120)
Source: RNAcentral
GAUGAAGAACGCAGCGAAAUGCGAUAAGUAGUGUGAAUUGCAGAAUUCAGUGAAUCAUCGAAUCUUUGAACGCACAUUGCGCCCCUUGGUAUCCCGAGGGGCAUGCCUGUUCGAGCGUCAUUUCACCACUCAAGCCUGGCUUGGUGUUGGGCGACGUCCCCUUUAGGGACGCGCCUCGAAACGCUCGGCGGCGUGGCACCGGCUUUAAGCGUAGCAGAAUCUUUCGCUUUGGAAGUCGGGGCCCCGCCUGCCGGAAUACCUACUCGUAAGGUUGACCUCGGAUCAGGCAUGGAUACCCGCUGAACUUAAGCAUAUCAAUAAGCGGAGGA